GGCUCGGUAGCUCAGUCGGUAGAGCAACGGACUGAAAAUCCGUGUGUCGGCGGUUCGAUUCCGUCCCGAGCCAUCA
RNAcentral lists this transfer RNA (76 nucleotides) under Pontibacillus litoralis JSM 072002. RNAcentral's name for it is "tRNA-Phe". It matches the Rfam family "tRNA". Rfam says of the family: Transfer RNA (tRNA) molecules are approximately 80 nucleotides in length. Their secondary structure includes four short double-helical elements and three loops (D, anti-codon, and T loops). Lineage: Bacteria; Bacillati; Bacillota; Bacilli; Caryophanales; Bacillaceae. The record is from RNAcentral.